RNAcentral lists this long non-coding RNA (516 nucleotides) under Dromaius novaehollandiae (emu). Its description in RNAcentral is "lncRNA (ENSDNVG00000014186.1)". The record is from RNAcentral. Lineage: Eukaryota; Metazoa; Chordata; Aves; Casuariiformes; Dromaiidae.
CCUUUGACCAACCAUUAACUUUUGAACAUUAGCUAUUUGACCAAACAUUCCUUUGUCCAGACAUUAACUUACGCAAAUUGUGUAUUGCAGAACUUUGUGAAAUCAGGACUAAUGUUACUAGAUUAUUGUCUGGGUGGCUUUACUAGACAACAAGUGCAAGAUAAUAAAAGCAAGACGAGAACUGAUUUGAAAGUACAGAGAAGAGGGAUCAGUCUAGCCUGAUGUUUAUAAACUGCAUUGAGACUUCAGGAUGCCAGGAAUUCUGCUCUCAAACUCCUUUCUUGAGUAUUUACAACAUAAUCAUAUUUUGCAACUGCUAAGRGAUGAUUUUGGAGAAUUUUCUCUAAACCAAGGAAGAACAGCAUAAGAGCAUGACACUACUGGAUCUGCCAGCCGGCCUUUACAGAGUCUGCUUCACCCUUGCCGAAGCUCUGUAGUAUCCAAUGGUUUUGAUGACAGGAAUAGAGGUGAUACCUGAAGACACUCCUCAUCUCACUGCAGGUAAGGGCGCAGAGA